This 470-nucleotide ribosomal RNA is filed under the name uncultured bacterium. RNAcentral's name for it is "partial 16S ribosomal RNA". It matches the Rfam family "Bacterial small subunit ribosomal RNA", at positions 28 to 507 of the family's 1533-position model. The record is from RNAcentral.
GACGAACGCUGGCGGCGUGCUUAACACAUGCAAGUCGAACGCUGAAGCACCAGCUUGCUGGUGUGGAUGAGUGGCGAACGGGUGAGUAAUACGUGAGUAACCUGCCCUUGACUCUGGGAUAAGCCCGGGAAACUGGGUCUAAUACUGGAUGCUACAUGUCACCGCAUGGUGGUGUGUGGAAAGGGUUUACUGGUCUUGGAUGGGCUCACGGCCUAUCAGCUUGUUGGUGAGGUAAUGGCUCACCAAGGCGACGACGGGUAGCCGGCCUGAGAGGGUGACCGGCCACACUGGGACUGAGACACGGCCCAGACGCCUACGGGAGGCAGCAGUGGGGAAUAUUGCACAAUGGGCGAAAGCCUGAUGCAGCGACGCCGCGGGAGGGAGGACGGCCUUCGGGUUGUAAACCUCUUUCAGCAGGGAAGAAGCCACAAGUGACGGUACCUGCAGAAGAAGCGCCGGCUAACUACGUG